This 880-nucleotide ribosomal RNA is filed under the name Bacillus safensis. Its description in RNAcentral is "bacterial SSU rRNA". It matches the Rfam family "Bacterial small subunit ribosomal RNA", at positions 131 to 995 of the family's 1533-position model. The record is from RNAcentral. Lineage: Bacteria; Bacillati; Bacillota; Bacilli; Caryophanales; Bacillaceae.
AGGAGAGUUACUGCCUUAACUCCGGGAAACCGGACCUAAUACCGGAUAGUUCCUUGAACCGCACGGUUCAAGGAUGAAAGACGGUUUCGGCUGUCACUUACAGAUGGACCCGCGGCGCAUUAGCUAGUUGGUGGGGUAAUGGCUCACCAAGGCGACGAUGCGUAGCCGACCUGAGAGGGUGAUCGGCCACACUGGGACUGAGACACGGCCCAGACUCCUACGGGAGGCAGCAGUAGGGAAUCUUCCGCAAUGGACGAAAGUCUGACGGAGCAACGCCGCGUGAGUGAUGAAGGUUUUCGGAUCGUAAAGCUCUGUUGUUAGGGAAGAACAAGUGCGAGAGUAACUGCUCGCACCUUGACGGUACCUAACCAGAAAGCCACGGCUAACUACGUGCCAGCAGCCGCGGUAAUACGUAGGUGGCAAGCGUUGUCCGGAAUUAUUGGGCGUAAAGGGCUCGCAGGCGGUUUCUUAAGUCUGAUGUGAAAGCCCCCGGCUCAACCGGGGAGGGUCAUUGGAAACUGGGAAACUUGAGUGCAGAAGAGGAGAGUGGAAUUCCACGUGUAGCGGUGAAAUGCGUAGAGAUGUGGAGGAACACCAGUGGCGAAGGCGACUCUCUGGUCUGUAACUGACGCUGAGGAGCGAAAGCGUGGGGAGCGAACAGGAUUAGAUACCCUGGUAGUCCACGCCGUAAACGAUGAGUGCUAAGUGUUAGGGGGUUUCCGCCCCUUAGUGCUGCAGCUAACGCAUUAAGCACUCCGCCUGGGGAGUACGGUCGCAAGACUGAAACUCAAAGGAAUUGACGGGGGCCCGCACAAGCGGUGGAGCAUGUGGUUUAUUUCAAAGCACGCGAACACCUUACCAUGUCUUGACAUCCUCUGAC